CCCAAUGGGUGGCAUAACAUGUGUUGAGUUGGCUAACAUAGUCAUCAAUAAACAUAAGAUCAUGUAAUAAAAAGGGAUUACAACAUCUAUAGGGUCAAGCACAACUUCUAAUCCUCAAUAUCAUUAUACAUAACAUAACUAUUCAGUUAUACAUCAUCUUACAAUUUAUCAUGUCCACUUUCUAACUAUUACAAACAUAAGACUUUACUCUUCUUGACUUCUCUGUCUAGCCCGUACCUGCAAUCCUGGG
This 250-nucleotide long non-coding RNA is filed under the name Manihot esculenta (cassava). RNAcentral's name for it is "long non-coding RNA (MESC_LNC004033)". The record is from RNAcentral. Lineage: Eukaryota; Viridiplantae; Streptophyta; Magnoliopsida; Malpighiales; Euphorbiaceae.